Molecule: ribosomal RNA, 491 nt
Filed under: uncultured bacterium
Lineage: Bacteria
Description: partial 16S ribosomal RNA
Rfam family: Bacterial small subunit ribosomal RNA
Source: RNAcentral
AGUGAACGCUGGCGGUAGCCCUAACACAUGCAAGUCGAACGGCAGCACAGUAAGAGCUUGCUCUUACGGGUGGCGAGUGGCGGACGGGUGGGGAAUACAUCGGAAUCUACUUUUUCGUGGGGGAUAACGUAGGGAAACUUACGCUAAUACCGCAUACGACCUACGGGUGAAAGCAGGGGAUCUUCGGACCUUGCGCGAUUGAAUGAGCCGAUGUCGGAUUAGCUAGUUGGCGGGGUAAAGGCCCACCAAGGCGACGAUCCGUAGCUGGUCUGAGAGGAUGAUCAGCCACACGGGAACUGAGACACGAUCCAGACUCCUACGGGAGGCAGCAGUGGGGAAUAUUGGACAAUGGGCGCAAGCCUGAUCCAGCCAUACCGCGUGGGUGAAGAAGGCCUUCGGGUUGUAAAGCCCUUUUGUUGGGAAAGAAAAGCAGCAGGUUAAUACCCCGCUGUUCUGACGGUACCCAAAGAAUAAGCACCGGCAAACUUCGU